RNAcentral lists this ribosomal RNA (301 nucleotides) under uncultured bacterium. Its description in RNAcentral is "partial 16S ribosomal RNA". It matches the Rfam family "Bacterial small subunit ribosomal RNA", at positions 509 to 807 of the family's 1533-position model. The record is from RNAcentral.
CAGUAGCCGCGGUAAUACGUAGGGGGCAAGCGUUGUCCGGAAUCAUUGGGCGUAAAGCGCGUGUAGGCGGCUCGAUAAGUCUGCUGUGAAAGUUCAGGGCUCAACCCUGAAAUGCCGGUGGAAACUGUCGAGCUUGAGUCCGGGAGAGGCAAGUGGAAUUCCUGGUGUAGCGGUGAAAUGCGCAGAUAUCAGGAGGAACACCAGUGGCAAAGGCGGCUCACUGGACGACUGUUGACGCUGAAGCACGAAAGCUAGGGGAGCAAACAGGAUUAGAUACCCCUGUAGUCCCUGUCUCUUAUAC